This is an RNA transcript of Salvia splendens (bonfire salvia), 1770 nucleotides long. RefSeq lists it as uncharacterized. The record is from RefSeq and is a predicted model, not a curated record. The transcript is spliced from 3 exons. Lineage: Eukaryota; Viridiplantae; Streptophyta; Magnoliopsida; Lamiales; Lamiaceae.
AAAAAAAUGAGGAGCUCAACGUCUAUGAAAAUUCAUUUCUUGCAUGACAUAUUUGUGGAGGGAAUUUACCAUAGCAUGAUAUGAAUUUUAUAUAUUAAUAUUAAUUGGCCAUAUUAAAGUUUAAACCCAUUUGCCGUAUGAAUUUCAUAGCAUGUUCUAGUUAAGGAUCUUAGUAUCUUACAAUUGUUUAAAUAUGAAUCUUGAAUCUUGAAUCUUGAAUCUUGAAUCUUGGUUGCUUUGUUUCAUCAAGGUAAGGUUGGUACCUUAGUGAAACUAGGUGUUUGGUUGUCAAAUUAUAGCUUUGUAAAGCCCGUGUUUCAGAACUAAGGCCCGCACUAUUCAUCAAAUUUUACCCAGUUUCGAAUCUACCUCAACACCCUCAGAUUGAGUUAGAUGGCCUCGAUUUGUGUGUCAGCUUAUACAAUUAAUUCCUUUUCCCUCUUGCACAUCUUAUCUCUUCUGCCUUUUCUCCCAAAUUUCAGCUCAGGAACCAUAGUGCAAUAGCUUUCAAAGAUCUAGAACUCACGGCCUAAAAAUUCAGCGGUGCAAGGACGAAGCUACAGCAUUGGCGCGAGCAGUGGCUCACUCUGCUGGGCAUAAUUGACGAAAAUAUCACGCAUCGAUUGUGUAUGUUUAUCAUUCAUGGCACCUCCGUUAUCUACCUCUAUAGCCAUUUACCUUAUGGUAGAAGACAUAAUGAAUCUUUUCCAUAUGCAAACUACCAUAAUCUUGUAUUUUUGUUUGAGGCACGGUAGACGUAUGCGUAGACGUCAUAGGCGGCACUUGAUUAGGCAUUACUCUCUUAUAGAUCGGAUUCCACCACAAGUCCGGCAUAUGAAUAGACUUGUAUCUGUUAGCGACAUUGACUGCUUAGUCAACCUUCGAAUGGAUAGGAAUAUCUUCGGGAGAUUGUGUCUUCUUCUAAAGGAAGUUGGGGGGUUGCGAAAUGGUAGAUAUGUAUAUGUGGAGGAGCAGGUUGCCAUAUUCCUAGGGAUACUUGCACAUCACAAAAAAAAUCGUAUAAUAUGUUUCAACUUCAAGCGGUCUGGUGAAACUAUAUCACACUAUGUGCACAUAGUUUUAAGAGUUGUUAUAAGGCUACACAAAAUUCUCUUACCUAAACCGGAACCUGUCACGGAUGACAAUGGCGACACAAGGUGGAAACAUUUUAAGCGAGGCAAUGUCGACAUCAUCUGAAAAUGGUGAACUAAUACCAGAAUGCACUUGUGGGCGUGGGAAAAUGACUUAUUAUGUGCAGGGAAAAAGGUAAAACACAGUGGCUGAUUUUUUUACAAAUCUCCGGCAGACAUGAAACAUUCUGGAUCCUUUUUGUGGUGUGAUGACUUCCAUAGCCAAAAAGAUGGGGGCCGUAUACCAGAUUUUGUCUUGAAUCAGGAAUAUCGUCCAAAGAAAACUGUUAGCAACAUGAUGACAUCCAAAAAUACAAGUGUGACUCCAAGUGAAGUAGGUUGUAGAUCAUGCGGUCGUUGCCGGGCCGAGGCGAAGAUGAACAUCAUUUUAGCUUUCUUUGGAGUAAUGUUGUUUAUUCUAUUAUUGGGAACUUGCUUUAGGUUAUUGUCUCGAUAGGUUGUUGGCUCAGCUAGAGCAUUACCGAAAAACCUAUCUAUCAAUGUAUUUGUUGUCAAAUAGGUCUCUUUUGUAAACACUUUUGUAGUUAUGUGUAGGAUUUGAUGUUAUAGACCCAUUUUGGUUGGUUGUAUUUGUAUGUUUUUCAUGAAAAUUUUCAUGUAAUGUUUGUACAGUGGAUAA